GGGGGUGUAGCUCAGUUGGGAGAGCGCUGCUUUCGCACGGCAGAGGUCGGCGGUUCAAAUCCGCUCACCUCCA
RNAcentral lists this transfer RNA (73 nucleotides) under Candidatus Brocadiia bacterium. RNAcentral's name for it is "tRNA-Ala". It matches the Rfam family "tRNA". Rfam says of the family: Transfer RNA (tRNA) molecules are approximately 80 nucleotides in length. Their secondary structure includes four short double-helical elements and three loops (D, anti-codon, and T loops). Further hydrogen bonds mediate the characteristic L-shaped molecular structure. tRNAs have two regions of fundamental functional importance: the anti-codon, which is responsible for specific mRNA codon recognition, and the 3' end, to which the tRNAs corresponding amino acid is attached (by aminoacyl-tRNA synthetases). tRNAs cope with the degeneracy of the genetic code in two manners: having more than one tRNA (with a specific anti-codon) for a particular amino acid; and 'wobble' base-pairing, i.e. permitting non-standard base-pairing at the 3rd anti-codon position. Lineage: Bacteria; Pseudomonadati; Planctomycetota; Candidatus Brocadiia. The record is from RNAcentral.